Molecule: non-coding RNA, 1076 nt
Organism: Megalobrama amblycephala (Wuchang bream)
Lineage: Eukaryota; Metazoa; Chordata; Actinopteri; Cypriniformes; Xenocyprididae
Source: the annotation of a RefSeq genome assembly
CACAAUGAUUUCUAUUUAUUCCAUUUAUUUGAAGAGCAGCAGUCAACAACUGAAUCCUGCAAAAGUGCCUGUUUGAUUGUUUUAUCACAUUAAUCACAGUAAAUCCAGGAGGAAAGUGAAUGUGUUUUCAGGAGUCUGUUGAGUGGAGAGUGUUUUGCAUGUUUACUGCUCCACACACAAAACUCCUCUGAUGAUCAGUGUGUGUUCAGUCCUGACAGAGUCUCUGACACACUGAACAAUGAUGUCUCUUUUACUGAUUCUGACUACACUGACUCUGCUGGCGCAAGUGUCUCAUCAAGAGGUCCAGACUCCUAAAUCUCUGUCUGUUAAAGCAGGAGAAUCUGCCACUAUUAGCUGCACUGCGUCUUCUGGAAUUGGUUAUGACAUGAGCUGGUAUCUGCUGAAACCUGGAAAAACUCCUAAACUUUUGAUCUACACAACGAGUAACCUUGCAUCCGGAGUUUCAAACCGGUUCAGUGGAAGUUAUUCUGGAUAUCAAUUUAUGCUGAACAUACGUGGAGUCCAGACUGAAGAUGCAGGAGAUUAUUACUGUAUGGGGGCUUACAGUGGAGUGUUCACACAGUGAAACAACAUCGUACAAAAACUUCCCUCAGUCAGACGGCACAAUGAAUUUACUCAAGCAGUAUGAACUAAUUUACAUUAAAUAAGAAAUUAUUUCUUCAGUAUGAACAGAAUAGAAUCUAAUUAAACAUGCAAAUUAGUGCAUAAUCAGAAAAUCUGGUAUAUUUAAACAUAACAUUUCAGAAAACUUGAAAUUAAAAUAUGUAUGCAAUUCUUAAUGUAAUCAAUCAACUGUGGAAGUAUUGUGAAAUCUUUUAGUUUAUUACUAUUAUUAUUAUUAUUAUUGUACCCUUUUCAUCUGGCUUGUCUUGCCAUUUUUUCUUACAUCUUGUUCAAAUGCACAAUUCUUGACAAUAAGAAUUCAGACUAUUAGCCCUAAAUUUAAUGUAAUCUAAUUAAAAUAAGUAUAAAUGUAUUCAAUAAAAUAUUUUUAUUGUCACUGUCAUUUUUUAAAUACCUUAUUUUAGAUUUUGAUGAAUGUUUAAAAAUCAAAA